GCGAGGGUGGCGGAAUUGGUAGACGCACUGGAUUUAGGUUCCAGCGGGGCAACCUGUGCGGGUUCGAGUCCCGCCUCUCGCACCA
Molecule: transfer RNA, 85 nt
Filed under: Rhodocyclaceae bacterium
Lineage: Bacteria; Pseudomonadati; Pseudomonadota; Betaproteobacteria; Rhodocyclales; Rhodocyclaceae
Also listed under: 2 other names
Description: tRNA-Leu
Rfam family: tRNA
About the family: Transfer RNA (tRNA) molecules are approximately 80 nucleotides in length. Their secondary structure includes four short double-helical elements and three loops (D, anti-codon, and T loops). Further hydrogen bonds mediate the characteristic L-shaped molecular structure. tRNAs have two regions of fundamental functional importance: the anti-codon, which is responsible for specific mRNA codon recognition, and the 3' end, to which the tRNAs corresponding amino acid is attached (by aminoacyl-tRNA synthetases). tRNAs cope with the degeneracy of the genetic code in two manners: having more than one tRNA (with a specific anti-codon) for a particular amino acid; and 'wobble' base-pairing, i.e. permitting non-standard base-pairing at the 3rd anti-codon position.
Source: RNAcentral